RNAcentral lists this ribosomal RNA (2879 nucleotides) under Acinetobacter baumannii. Its description in RNAcentral is "bacterial LSU rRNA". It matches the Rfam family "Bacterial large subunit ribosomal RNA". The record is from RNAcentral. Lineage: Bacteria; Pseudomonadati; Pseudomonadota; Gammaproteobacteria; Moraxellales; Moraxellaceae.
UCAAGUAAUUAAGUGCAUGUGGUGGAUGCCUUGGCAGUCAGAGGCGAUGAAAGACGUGAUAGCCUGCGAAAAGCUCCGGGGAGGCGGCAAAUAUCCUUUGAUCCGGAGAUGUCUGAAUGGGGAACCCACCUACUUUAGGUAGGUAUUGCAACAUGAAUACAUAGUGUUGCAAGGCGAACGAGGGGAAGUGAAACAUCUCAGUACCCUUAGGAAAAGAAAUCAAUUGAGAUUCCCUCAGUAGCGGCGAGCGAACGGGGAUCAGCCCAUUAAGUUAUGUGUUUUAGUGGAACGCUCUGGGAAGUGCGAACGUAGAGGGUGAUAUUCCCGUACACGAAAGGGCACACAUAAUGAUGACGAGUAGGGCGAGGCACGUGAAACCUUGUCUGAAUAUGGGGGGACCAUCCUCCAAGGCUAAAUACUCCUGACUGACCGAUAGUGAACCAGUACCGUGAGGGAAAGGCGAAAAGAACCCCUGUGAGGGGAGUGAAAUAGAUCCUGAAACCGCAUGCAUACAAGCAGUGGGAGCACCUUCGUGGUGUGACUGCGUACCUUUUGUAUAAUGGGUCAGCGACUUAUAUUCAGUAGCGAGGUUAACCGUAUAGGGGAGCCGUAGAGAAAUCGAGUCUUAAUAGGGCGUUUAGUUGCUGGGUAUAGACCCGAAACCAGGCGAUCUAUCCAUGAGCAGGUUGAAGGUUGGGUAACACUAACUGGAGGACCGAACCCACUGUCGUUGAAAAGCCAGGGGAUGACUUGUGGAUAGGUGAAAGGCUAAUCAAGCCUGGUGAUAGCUGGUUCUCCCCGAAAGCUAUUUAGGUAGCGCCUCGGACGAAUACCAUAGGGGGUAGAGCACUGUUUCGGCUAGGGGGUCAUCCCGACUUACCAAACCGAUGCAAACUCCGAAUACCUAUGAGUACUAUCCGGGAGACAGACUGCGGGUGCUAACGUCCGUAGUCAAGAGGAAAACAAUCCAGACCGCCAGCUAAGGCCCCAAAAUCAUAGUUAAGUGGGAAACGAUGUGGGAAGGCAUAGACAGCUAGGAGGUUGGCUUAGAAGCAGCCACCCUUUAAAGAAAGCGUAAUAGCUCACUAGUCGAGUCGGCCUGCGCGGAAGAUGUAACGGGGCUAAAACUAUGUGCCGAAGCUGCGGAUGUAUACUUUGUAUACGUGGUAGGGGAGCGUUCUGUAAGCCGAUGAAGGUGUGUUGAGAAGCAUGCUGGAGGUAUCAGAAGUGCGAAUGCUGACGUGAGUAACGACAAAACGGGUGAAAAACCCGUUCGCCGAAAGACCAAGGGUUCCAGUCCAACGUUAAUCGGGCUGGGUGAGUCGACCCUAAGGCGAGGCCGAAAGGCGUAGUCGAUGGGAAAAUGGUUAAUAUUCCAUUACUUCUGUGUAAUGCGAUGAGAGGACGGAGAAGGCUAAAUCAGCCUGGCGUUGGUUGUCCAGGUGAAAGGAUGUAGGCAUGUAUCUUAGGCAAAUCCGGGGUACUCUAUGCUGAGAUCUGAUAGCAAGCUGUACUUGUACAGCGAAGUGGUUGAUGCCAUGCUUCCAGGAAAAGUCUCUAAGCUUCAGUUACACAGGAAUCGUACCCGAAACCGACACAGGUGGUCAGGUCGAGUAGACCAAGGCGCUUGAGAGAACUCUGCUGAAGGAACUAGGCAAAAUGGUACCGUAACUUCGGGAGAAGGUACGCUGUUGUUGGUGAUGGAACUCGCUUCCUGAGCUGACGACAGCCGCAGAAACCAGGCCGCUGCAACUGUUUAUUAAAAACAUAGCACUCUGCAAACACGAAAGUGGACGUAUAGGGUGUGAUGCCUGCCCGGUGCUGGAAGGUUAAUUGAUGGGGUUAGCGUAAGCGAAGCUCUUGAUCGAAGCCCCAGUAAACGGCGGCCGUAACUAUAACGGUCCUAAGGUAGCGAAAUUCCUUGUCGGGUAAGUUCCGACCUGCACGAAUGGCAUAAUGAUGGCGGCGCUGUCUCCAGCAGAGGCUCAGUGAAAUCGAAAUCGCUGUGAAGAUGCAGUGUACCCGCGGCUGACGGAAAGACCCCGUGAACCUUUACUGCAGCUUGACACUGAACUUUGACCUUACUUGUGGGAUAGGUGGGAGGCUUUGAAGCUGGAACGCUAGUUCCAGUGGAGCCGUCCUUGAAAUACCACCCUGGUAAUGUUGAGGUUCUAACUCUGUCCCGUGAUCCGGGACGAGGACCGUGUCUGGUGGGUAGUUUGACUGGGGCGGUCUCCUCCUAAAGAGUAACGGAGGAGUACGAAGGUGCGCUCAGCGUGGUCGGAAAUCACGCGUAGAGUAUAAAGGCAAAAGCGCGCUUAACUGCGAGACCCACAAGUCGAGCAGGUACGAAAGUAGGUCUUAGUGAUCCGGUGGUUCUGUAUGGAAGGGCCAUCGCUCAACGGAUAAAAGGUACUCUGGGGAUAACAGGCUGAUACCGCCCAAGAGUUCAUAUCGACGGCGGUGUUUGGCACCUCGAUGUCGGCUCAUCUCAUCCUGGGGCUGAAGCAGGUCCCAAGGGUAUGGCUGUUCGCCAUUUAAAGAGGUACGCGAGCUGGGUUUAGAACGUCGUGAGACAGUUCGGUCCCUAUCUACCGUGGGCGCUGGAAAUUUGAGAGGAUCUGCUCCUAGUACGAGAGGACCAGAGUGGACGAACCUCUGGUGUACCGGUUGUGACGCCAGUCGCAUCGCCGGGUAGCUAUGUUCGGAAGGGAUAACCGCUGAAAGCAUCUAAGCGGGAAGCCUACCUCAAGAUAAGAUUUCCCUAGGACUUUAUGUCCUCUAAAGAGCCGUUCGAGACUAGGACGUUGAUAGGUUGGAUGUGGAAGCAUAGUGAUAUGUGAAGCUGACCAAUACUAAUUGCUCGUGAGGCUUGACUA